Long non-coding RNA from Andrographis paniculata, 1196 nucleotides. RefSeq lists it as uncharacterized. NCBI's taxonomy places the organism in Eukaryota, Viridiplantae, Streptophyta, Magnoliopsida, Lamiales, Acanthaceae. The transcript is spliced from 2 exons. The record is from RefSeq and is a predicted model, not a curated record.
UAGUGUAAUUUAAAUAAAAAUUAAAAAUAUUUUAGUAUUAGAGUAACCAUUUUAUAAUAGAAAAAAAAUUAUAUUGUUUUAGCUAAGAUAUAUCAAAAUGAUAAAAAAUAUUUUUUCAAUUUAUAAGAAAAGAGUAUAUAAAAAUAUGCAUUAAUUUUAUAUGACAUCAAAUAUUAUUUUAAUAGGAAUUCUAAAACAAUUUUUUUUCAAACUUGCCAAAGAAACACACUGGUUCGUUGAACACAAUCAUAUUUCCUCGCAGAUAAAUUUCAAAUUAAUUAAUUUCCUAAAUUGUAAUUUACUCGAUUCAUUGUUUAAUGGAAAUGCGAUUUUUAUUUGCCCCUUUAUUAAUGACAACUUAGACAGCCAGAAAGCGUGUUUUAUGCGACGGGUUGCAGCUGUGUAUUUAAUUAUUGUUCAGCGCUUAUUGCCUAUUGGGCUAUUGGCUGGCUACAAAUAAAUUAACCCAAUACGUAUACAUUUUGACUUUCAAAUCUUGUGGUUGUGGCUUGCCCAAACACGCGCUUUUAAAGACGCGAAAAAGCGACGCUGCCGGAGACGCAGAGGUAGAGGCAAAAUUUAGGAGCCGAGAUCCAGCGACUUGAUCUCGCCACCGUCGCCUGCUGCUUGUUCUUCACGUACAGUCGCUGUCGCCGCUCUAAUUCUUCUGAUCUCACGACACCGGAGAGAUGAAAGGAACCUGUGCUCUUGUCGCGUCUGUGGUUGCCGCAUCCACCGUCGUCGUCACCUCCGGUGAUCGCCAGGUCGCUUGCGACUCUCGCGCAGAUAAGGGUAAACAAGUGAUUUCGGAGGGUGCGGGGAAGGAGAAGUACGCUCCGAGGUUCGAUGGGUUAAGAUUCAUCGAGACACUCGUCACGGCGCACAGGUGAAGGCCGAUUUGUUGUCACUUCAUUCUGGUCGAGGAGGAGCGUGCGAUUGGAUUGAUUUUGCGUGCAUCUAGUUUUGUUUUUUAGAGUAAUUUAUGCGCAAGCGAGGACAAGGAUUUUACCGUCUGUGCUUGUCAUUUGCGGCGUGUUUUGAUCUGAUCAUUCAUUCAUCUAGGUUUUCUACGCUGUUGUGCUCGUGGAUGGUAUUUUUCCAGGUUAUAUAUCCCCAUGGGUUUUAUCUAAUUGUAUCUUGAGUCUUGACAUUGGAUCACACUUGUGUGCAAUUUUACUGUAAUUCUUCCAUUUCAA